GAGUGCGUGCUCUUGGCCACCCAUGUUGAUCGUGGAUUUUCUUUGCCGCCGAGUAUUUUCUUCCGUGGUUUCUUGAACUUCUUUGGAGCGCAGCUCCACCACUUUACCCCAAAUUCUAUCGCCUAUCUUGCCGCGUUCGUGUCCAUGUGUGAGGGUUUUCUGGGUUGUCGACCGCACUGGGGCUUGUUCCAGCAUAUAUUCACGUGUCGCUCUCAGACCGUGAAGAAGGCGAGCCCAGGCGACGAAAGAACCCGAGUCGUCCAAAUGUGUGGGGGCCUGAGGAUCCAGGUGAGGAAUAAGAGCACCUUCCCAGCCAUGACUUUUCCCGAGUCAGUCAGAGGCUGGCAGUCGACCUGGUUCUACUGCCAGGAUCAGUCGACGCCGGGGCAGUCGAGUGGACUCCCUCAGUUUACCAUGGACCGAGUGAACAAGCCCUCCUCUCUGAAGUUGAUUCCGGAGGAGAAAGCUGACGUGAAGAUGUUGAUGGAGCGCGUGGUACAGUUGGUUCGGGAGGGAGUGACGGGCAUGGAUCUCCUGGAGGUUUUCCUUAGGCGUCGUAUCCAGCCCCUUCAGUUCCGGAGCCACUGCAUGUGGUUGUACUGUGGGACUGAAGACGAGACUCGAGUCCAUCCAGAAGCAGUCGACGAUGUCACUCUGGAAAGAUGGAUGACCGCCGUUACUGGAAACAAG
RNAcentral lists this ribosomal RNA (690 nucleotides) under Triticum aestivum (bread wheat). RNAcentral's name for it is "partial small subunit ribosomal RNA". Lineage: Eukaryota; Viridiplantae; Streptophyta; Magnoliopsida; Poales; Poaceae. The record is from RNAcentral.